Non-coding RNA from Peziza echinospora, 97 nucleotides. Lineage: Eukaryota; Fungi; Ascomycota; Pezizomycetes; Pezizales; Pezizaceae. The record is from the annotation of a GenBank genome assembly.
GCCUCCUUGGCUCAGUGGUAAAGCGUCGCACUUGUACGGCUGCCUUCAAGCAGCUUCUGAAAUGCGAAGAUCGGUGGUUCAAUUCCGCUAGGAGGCA